Molecule: transfer RNA, 75 nt
Filed under: bacterium HR34
Lineage: Bacteria
Description: tRNA-Val
Rfam family: tRNA
About the family: Transfer RNA (tRNA) molecules are approximately 80 nucleotides in length.
Source: RNAcentral
GGGCGGUUAGCUCAGUGGAAGAGCGUCUCGUUUACACCGAGAAGGUCGUAGGUUCAAGUCCUACACCGCCCACCA